This 651-nucleotide long non-coding RNA is filed under the name Pan troglodytes (chimpanzee). RNAcentral describes it as "long non-coding RNA NONPTRT014516". The record is from RNAcentral. Lineage: Eukaryota; Metazoa; Chordata; Mammalia; Primates; Hominidae.
UCUGUUUUGCUGUCACUUUGUGUUUUGCCGAGUUAAUCCAAAGAGUUGCUUCAACAAGCAGAACUCAAGGAAACAGGGGUGAGGUUGCUUUAAGGCUUGGAGACUUCUCAGCUAAAGGAAGUGGGCCAGGGAAGGGCUAGGUGCUCUGACAUUCCAAAUAUAGUCUGCUUGGCCACUGAGGAAGAGAGAUUUGUUGCUAGCAACAAGUACUUAGAACGUGUGUGAUUUGGCAUGUCUCGAACUGUGAAGUAGAUGCAAUGCAGGCAAAAAAUGGAUGAUGCUAUGGGGAGGGGCUGUGUAGGGUGUUAAUCGCCAUCUGCAGUGCCUGGAGGUGGGGUGGGGAGAAGUGAAGAAUCUCUUCCUUUUUAAUAGAUUUUCAAGAUGGGAAAAUCAUAUUGCAACCCACAGGCAUUUGGAAACAAUUUGUGCCGAAGACAGAAAGUACACCUAACGUUAAGCUGAAAAAACUGGACACUCCCAGCAAACUCACUUUGCAGACUCCUGGUUGUCAGAAGAAAACGCCAGAGGAUUUCACUUGGCAUUGACCUCUUACUACUUCCAGCCACUUACCCUGGGCAGUAGAAAGAAGGAACAGAAAGCAGAGUAGAUUAAGAGGAGGCCUUGUUUUCGCCAUCAACGCACAGAUCUGAG